Molecule: non-coding RNA, 283 nt
Organism: Leptonychotes weddellii (Weddell seal)
Lineage: Eukaryota; Metazoa; Chordata; Mammalia; Carnivora; Phocidae
Source: RefSeq, a predicted model, not a curated record
CUCGGCCACUAGGGCCUUCAGGCUGCAGGGAAGCCAGCCGCCGGGGCUGCGGGAACUCCCUCGAUUUCCUGUCCCUCCGAACGCGAUUAUUAUGAGUCUCAUGAGGGCAGAGACUAUGUGUUUCAGUCAUCACUGGACUCCAGCCCCUGACACGAAGAUUCUGUCAAUAAACGAUUCGUUGAAUGAAUGAAUAAGGAAGGUACCUGGGUGUUCAGCUAGCUGCUGUACGAGAACAGCUCCUCCAUGGCACCCAGGCAGCCUCACACUAUCUACAGAGGUCCUG